Molecule: long non-coding RNA, 283 nt
Filed under: Aquilegia coerulea
Lineage: Eukaryota; Viridiplantae; Streptophyta; Magnoliopsida; Ranunculales; Ranunculaceae
Description: long non-coding RNA (ACOE_LNC000776)
Source: RNAcentral
GGACUGGAGUACUUAGCAACCAAUACUAAAAUGGGGGAUGUCUUUCUACUCAUAGAUGAAGAUAUGAGGUUGGGUUGGCUAGUGGAUAAACUCGAGAAGGCUAAUGCUUGAGUUAUGUUUAGUUUCAUUGCGAUUGUCUUUGAACUUGUGUUUUUCUCUAUUCAUUUGGAUAGUCCAGUAGUUUUUUUGGUUUAUGAAUUCUUUGUGGUUUAGGACAUGUUCUUUCAGACUUCUUCUAGGAUGGAUGGACUUAGGAUGAUGUUUAUGUGUUAAUGAUUAACAC